RNAcentral lists this ribosomal RNA (263 nucleotides) under uncultured Staphylococcus sp. RNAcentral describes it as "partial 16S ribosomal RNA". It matches the Rfam family "Bacterial small subunit ribosomal RNA", at positions 99 to 355 of the family's 1533-position model. The record is from RNAcentral. Lineage: Bacteria; Bacillati; Bacillota; Bacilli; Caryophanales; Staphylococcaceae.
CGGACGGGUGAGUAACACGUGGAUAACCUACCUAUAAGACUGGGAUAACUUCGGGAAACCGGAGCUAAUACCGGAUAAUAUAUUGAACCGCAUGGCUCAAUAGUGAAAGACGGUUUUGCUGUCACUUAUAGAUGGAUCCGCGCCGCAUUAGCUAGUUGGUAAGGUAACGGCUUACCAAGGCAACGAUGCGUAGCCGACCUGAGAGGGUGAUCGGCCACACUGGAACUGAGACACGGUCCAGACUCCUACGGGAGGCAGCAGCC